AGAGCAUAUAUAUGAUCUUUGGUGGAAGGUCAUAGCUGGCCAUAGCUUUACUCCCAUGAAACAGAUGGUGAGAUGUUGAUCUACCAUGGAAAAGAUGGAAGAGGACCUCAGCUGCUUUUAGGAGAUGCUCCAUGUGGGGGUGUGCAAGAGGAACGAAGGUGUGGCUCUCAUGGCACUGUGGCUUCUUCCACUGUGGAGCACAUGCUCACCACUGCAUGCUCGUGCAGACUGCAGAUGAAAAGGAGAUUGUGGAUCUGAUCUUGGCUGCUAAAGGUGGUGAAAGAUACAAAGGCGAAGCAGUAGUGCAGUAACUGUUUCGACCUUGGAGUACAUCAAAACCUGAGACAAAGAAUCAAACUUCACAGACAACCCUUGAAAGCUUGGCCACCCUUUUCUCCAUGGAUUUCUCUCUCAUGGUGCGACUCCUGACCCCACAAACCGCCCAAACCUUGUCUUCUUUGGUUACCUUACAUCAUUUCACUGUGCCAAGGAAUCACUACAACCCAUGGCUU
This 512-nucleotide long non-coding RNA is filed under the name Musa acuminata (dwarf banana). RNAcentral describes it as "long non-coding RNA (MACU_LNC000422)". Lineage: Eukaryota; Viridiplantae; Streptophyta; Magnoliopsida; Zingiberales; Musaceae. The record is from RNAcentral.